This 1106-nucleotide long non-coding RNA is filed under the name Homo sapiens (human). Its description in RNAcentral is "HSALNT0153242". Lineage: Eukaryota; Metazoa; Chordata; Mammalia; Primates; Hominidae. The record is from RNAcentral.
CUAAUGCUAGAUGAUGAGUUAGUGGGUGCAGCGCACCAGCAUGGCACAUGUAUACCUAUGUAACUAACCUGCACAAUGUGCACAUGUACCCUAAAACUUAUAGUAUAAUAAUAAAAAAAAAGAAAAAAUAUAUGUUAUAUAGGUUAUGCUAACUCUUAACUUUAUCCCUAAGUAAACAUUUAUAUAUUGUUAUUUUUCAUGUUGUAUAUUAAAAUUUCAUUUUUAUGCUUUUGAUAGAUGUCUAGUUUGCAAGGACUUUCAAUUUUUUAAUUCUUCUUUUUCUUUUUCUUUUUUUUUUUGAGACGAAGUUUUGCUUGUCACCCAGGCUGGAUUACAAUGGCACAAUCUCGGCUCACUUCAACCUCUGCCUUCCGGGUUCAAGCAAUUCUCCUGCCUCAGCCUCCAGAGUACCUGGGAUUACAGGCACCCACCACCACGACCAGCAAAUUCAGCUAAUUUUUGUAUAUUUAGUACAGAUGAGGUUUCUUCAUGUUGGCCAGGUUGGAAGUUCGAGAUGAGGGUGCCAGCAUGGCUGAUUUUUGAUGAAUGCUCUGUUUCUGAUUUGCUGAUGGUGGAAAGAAGAGGAGAGAACAAAUAAAGACUCUUUUAUCUCUUAAGUGCACUAAUCUCAUCAUGAGGACCUUACCCUUAUGACAUCAUCUAAACCUAAUGGUCUCCCAAAGGCCCCAUCUCUAAAUACCACCUCACUGGGGAUUAGGGCACCAGCAUAUGAUUUUUGGGGUGGGGAGUGACAUAAUUCAGUUCAUAGCAACAGACAAGCAGAGGAUAGAAAUAGUUAAUUGGUAAGAUGGAUUAGCUAACUCCUUCUCAUUCUAGAACAGUAGGACCAGAAUGAAAAUAGAGGAGCAGCUGCUGAGGAGCAGCUUAGUGACAGUUUCAGUGAUGCCGAGUUCUUAAGUGUGAAAAGAAACAACCAUAUGCUCUUAAAGUCAGUAAGUGAGGGCUGGGGGAUAGGAAUUAGUAGGGGAAAUAUUCUUUCCCAAAUGUACAAUUAAACUGUAUGGUUUCCAAUGAUAAUUGUCAGUAGUUUCCAUAUGAUAUGCUUACCACAUAUUUGAUAUAAUAUGAAAAUAUGUCUCCCUGUA